RNAcentral lists this ribosomal RNA (435 nucleotides) under uncultured bacterium. RNAcentral's name for it is "bacterial SSU rRNA". It matches the Rfam family "Bacterial small subunit ribosomal RNA", at positions 335 to 762 of the family's 1533-position model. The record is from RNAcentral.
ACUCCUACGGGAGGCAGCAGUAGGGAAUCUUCCACAAUGGGCGCAAGCCUGAUGGAGCAACACCGCGUGAGUGAAGAAGGGUUUCGGCUCGUAAAGCUCUGUUGUUAAAGAAGAACACGUAUGAGAGUAACUGUUCAUACGUUGACGGUAUUUAACCAGAAAGUCACGGCUAACUACGUGCCAGCAGCCGCGGUAAUACGUAGGUGGCAAGCGUUAUCCGGAUUUAUUGGGCGUAAAGAGAGUGCAGGCGGUUUUCUAAGUCUGAUGUGAAAGCCUUCGGCUUAACCGGAGAAGUGCAUCGGAAACUGGAUAACUUGAGUGCAGAAGAGGGUAGUGGAACUCCAUGUGUAGCGGUGGAAUGCGUAGAUAUAUGGAAGAACACCAGUGGCGAAGGCGGCUACCUGGUCUGCAACUGACGCUGAGACUCGAAAGCAU